This 497-nucleotide ribosomal RNA is filed under the name uncultured bacterium. RNAcentral describes it as "bacterial SSU rRNA". It matches the Rfam family "Bacterial small subunit ribosomal RNA", at positions 29 to 518 of the family's 1533-position model. The record is from RNAcentral.
AUGAACGCUAGCGACAGGCCUAACACAUGCAAGUCGAGGGGCAGCACAAGGAGCAAUCUGAGGUGGCGACCGGCGCACGGGUGAGUAACACGUAUGCAACCUGCCUGUAAGCGGGGAAUAACCCGUUGAAAGACGGACUAAUACCGCAUAAAUACUAAAUUACUGCAUGGUAAUUUAUUUAAACAUUUAUGGCUUACAGAUGGGCAUGCGCAUGAUUAGCUAGUUGGAGAGGUAACGGCUCCCCAAGGCAACGAUCAUUAGGGGUUCUGAGAGGAAGGUCCCCCACACUGGUACUGAGACACGGACCAGACUCCUACGGGAGGCAGCAGUGAGGAAUAUUGGUCAAUGGACGAGAGUCUGAACCAGCCAAGUCGCGUGCAGGAAGAAUGUCCUUAAUGGAUUGUAAACUGCUUUUGCAGGGGAAUAAAGUGCAUCACGUGUGAUGUUUUGUAUGUACUCUGCGAAUAAGGAUCGGCUAACUCCGUGCCAGCAGCGGC